AAACGUAAAAUAUCCUGAGGCAGGAGUUUGAAAAAAAGGCUCACAGAAGCUCAUGUUAAGACAUUUUCAUGUUAGCAGUAACUUUUGUCGAAUAGGUAAAUUUCUGUUAAGCUUUAAAUCAAUAGUAGUAAAAUUACAAUAUGAAUACUAAUAUGGUAGUUAUCAUUUCUGUAGGACUAUGUGCCUUUUGUUUUAUGUAAAAAGUCUGUGUGCUAAAUGUCAGACACAGAUCAAUUUUUAAGUAAGCUCUAUGCCCAACAUGGGGCUUGAAUCCAUGAACCCCAAGAUCAGGAGUUGUAUGCUCUACUGACUGAACCAGCCAGGAGCCUCAGGCCCUCCAUUUUAAUCAAAAAUUUUCGAUUACAUCAAGCAGAUCAUAUGUAAAUAGAAAUCCAGCUUAAAGUAUCAAAAGACUGGUGAUGGAAAGCCCAUCUAGUGGAAGCAGCAUAGUGGGAUCAGCCAGCCCUGUGCAUCAGUCUGGCUUUGCCAAUUACUGUGUGACCUUGGGCAAGAGACUUCAUCUGUUUGGGCCUCAGUGUUCUCAUCUACAAAAGAGGCACAUUACCGACCCCAUAGAAAUGUCACGAAGAUUAAGUAAAAUAAGACCGUGCCUCAGACAGGUUGUAGGUGCCUCCCAGACACUGCUUUCCUCCUCGUUCCAGACUGCCGGUUAUUAUGGGCUCAAUUGUGUCCCCCACCAAAUUCAUGUUGAUGUCCUAACCCCCAGUACCUCAGGAUGUGACUGUGUUUGAAGAUAGGGCCUCUAAAGAGGUAACUAAGUGAAAAUGUGGUCAUUAGGAUUAGGGUGGGCCCUAAUCCAGUACUGACUGGUGUCCUUCUAAGAUUAGGACAAAACACACAGAGGGAAGACCAUGUGAAGACACAGGAAGGAAAGAGAUCAGGAGGCCUCAGAAGAAACCAACCCUGCCAACAACUUGAUUUUGGACUUUUCGCCUCCAGAACCAAGAAACUAUAUUUCUGUUGCUUAAACCACCCAGUCCAUAGCAUCUGUCACGGCAGCCCGUGCAAGCCAAUAUCCCAGUCAUGGCCGGAGGUGACUGGAGUCCCCUAAUCGAAGGUUGCCGUGGAAGUCCUACUUCGUGCGCCACAACAAAAAAGGAAGGUGAGAAGCACCAAGAUACAGACCUAACACACUUGGCUUCACUCCUGGCCUACAGUAAAGACUCACGGAUCAAACCAGAACUCUUCCAGAAGAUACUUUUAUGGCUGAGACAGGCUCUCAAGUUAGAAACAGCAAUCUCUAUGCCCAACGUGGAGCUUGAACUCAUGACCCAGAGAUCAA
Molecule: long non-coding RNA, 1303 nt
Organism: Zalophus californianus (California sea lion)
Lineage: Eukaryota; Metazoa; Chordata; Mammalia; Carnivora; Otariidae
Exons: 3
Source: RefSeq, a predicted model, not a curated record